This 947-nucleotide long non-coding RNA is filed under the name Olea europaea subsp. europaea. The record is from RNAcentral. Lineage: Eukaryota; Viridiplantae; Streptophyta; Magnoliopsida; Lamiales; Oleaceae.
AGAAGAUAUAGAAUAUCAAGGUUGAUAAUUAUAGACUGCGUUUGUAUUUGCUUCUUUUAUGGAAGAAGCCAGAUAAUUUCCACAGUAUUUAUUAUUAUUAUUUUUUUUCCAUAUACAUUGUUUUUGCAGAUUAUGUAAUUCCCAAAGGAUGUUUUAUAGUUCCUUUUCUUUCGGCUGUCCAUUUGAAUGAAAAUAUAUACGGGGAUGCUCUCACUUUUAAUCCUUGGAGAUGGAUGAUUCCAGAAAAUCAGGUUAGUCUCAGCAAAACACAUGGACUCAAGUCUAAUUGUUAUUUUUAUAUAAUAUAUUAAAAAUAAAAUUUAAAUGAAAACACGUAUCUAUUUGAACAACUUAAUAUUUUAGACGAGACGAUUAACCAUAAUAACACGUAGACACAAAUUUGUUUCACUUUCUCUGUGUUCUAAAGCAUCUUUUUUUUCUCCAUCUUAAAGGAGAAGAGGAAUUGGAGAAGUAGUCCAUUUUUUGCUCCGUUCGGUGGAGGUGCACGAUUUUGUCCAGGUGCUGAGCUGGCUCGACUUCAAAUUGCAAUGUUUCUUCACUAUUUUGUCACUACGUAUAGGUAAUUUACAUUUUGGCGUUAAUUUUUUGUCUUAGAAAAAUUAAAGUUAGGCUCGUAAGAAAAAUUCAAAAAUAGGUUUUGAUAUUUUGUGUUCAUUUUGCGCGUCGCGAAAGGGUUAAUCAAGGAGUAUUGUUCGAUUAUUUUAGGUGGAAGCAACUCAAGGAUGACAAGAUGUCUUUCUUUCCAUCAGCUCGAUUGGUGAAUGGCUUCCAAAUCCAAUUAAGCAAAAUAUGGCCUGAUCACAUCAAUGUGAAGUAAAUUAGUUGCAGCAAUGUAUAAUACAAAAUUCUAUGUCAUUGUUUCUCUCUUCUUGUUCUCUAAGUUAUUUUGAAUUUGUGUGUUAUUUGUGUACUAAAAGAAAGCGUUU